This 575-nucleotide ribosomal RNA is filed under the name Hydora sp. 11 MF-2023a. RNAcentral's name for it is "partial large subunit ribosomal RNA". It matches the Rfam family "Bacterial large subunit ribosomal RNA", at positions 1844 to 2695 of the family's 2925-position model. The record is from RNAcentral. Lineage: Eukaryota; Metazoa; Arthropoda; Insecta; Coleoptera; Elmidae.
UAUAAGAUUUAACCUGCCCGCUGAAUAAUUGAAUGGCCGCGGUAUUUUGACCGUGCAAAGGUAGCAUAAUAAUUAGUUUUUUGAUUGAAAGCUGGAAUGAAUGGUUGGACGAGAAAAUUACUGUCUCUGAUUAAAUUUUUAAUAAAAUUUUAUUUUUAAGUUAAAAAGCUUAAAUGUUGUUAAAAGACGAGAAGACCCUAUAGAGUUUAAUAAUUUUUUAAUAAUAUAAUUUUAGGUAUUUAAAUUUUGUUUUUAUGAAAUUAUUUUAUUGGGGUGAUAAAAAGAUUAAAUUAACUCUUUUUUUAUUUUUACAUUUAUAGAUGAUUAUUUGAUCCAAUUUUUUUGAUUAUAAGAAUAAAUUACCUUAGGGAUAACAGCGUAAUCUUUUUAGAGAGUUCUUAUCGAAAUAAGGGAUUGCGACCUCGAUGUUGGAUUAAAGUUAAUUUUUGGUGUAGAAGCUUGAAAAUUGAGUCUGUUCGACUUUUAAAACUUUACAUGAUCUGAGUUUAAACCGGUGUGAGCCAGGUUGGUUUCUAUCUUUAUUUAAUAAAAAUAUCUUAGUACGAAAGGACCAA